GAAAAGGAGUUCUCCGAAGCACAGAAAGGAGGGAGAGGGAGAGAAAUCCUUGAGUAGGGCGUUGUCCCUUUCUUUGCCUUCUCUCCUGCCUCUCCUUCCUUUGCUGACCUAGAAUCUGCUCUACUUUCAAACGUCAUCCUUGGGAGAGGUGUGGCUACAAUCAGUGUUUAGCAAACAUUUGAAGAACAGGGUGUGUGGUACUCGCUGUGAGUGGAAAGGGGAACUCCCAGGCCACGGGAAGAAACAUAGAUUUUGCCCUCAGAAAGGGUUCUGGUGCGGUGUAAAAAUCCCUCAUCCUGAGACAGGAAGCACCUCAGCUUGUCCCAGCGCUUCUCAUAUCCAUUGCUGGCCCCUCCCUUCUCCAGAGGCCACCACAUGAAGCCUAGACUCUGCUUCACAGAGCAGCCACCUCUGCUAGGGUCCCAGCAGGGAGGGGACAAUGGGCUGAGGCUCAGCUCCAGAGAAAACAGGCCGUUUGUGAGAACCCUGGCCUUGGCAGACUCUUCUCUAGGAGAGGUGCUAUGCAGGACCUCAGCUUCACUGGAAGAAGAGUUGGAUUAGCAGCUGUUGUUUGGGCAGUCUGGAUUUUAGCAAGACGAAUGGAGAGGAAGUCGCAGUAAAGUCAGAUGUGGGACAGCUGCUGAGAAUAAAGACAGGCACAGGCUUCGUGGGGAAUUCCCGGUCCUUCUGUGUCGCUCACUCCAUUAAAAAUGAAGUCAC
Molecule: long non-coding RNA, 720 nt
Filed under: Fukomys damarensis (Damara mole-rat)
Lineage: Eukaryota; Metazoa; Chordata; Mammalia; Rodentia; Bathyergidae
Description: lncRNA (ENSFDAG00000033029.1)
Source: RNAcentral